Molecule: long non-coding RNA, 1335 nt
Filed under: Gossypium barbadense (sea-island cotton)
Lineage: Eukaryota; Viridiplantae; Streptophyta; Magnoliopsida; Malvales; Malvaceae
Description: long non-coding RNA (GBAR_LNC006764)
Source: RNAcentral
CUCGAUCCGACCUAUGCACAGCAGUUAAUGCAAGCUUGUCCUCAAAAUGUUGACCCCAGAAUCGCCAUUAACAUGGAUCCUGCAACCCCACAAACAUUUGAUAACAUGUAUUUCCAGAAUCUAGUUGCUAAGAAGGGGUUGUUUACUUCAGAUGAAGUGCUCUUUACAAAUAAAGCAUCUCAAGCUACUGUGAUUGAUUUUGCUAACAACCCUGGUGAUUUUAGUGGAGCUUUUGUUACAGCAAUAAGGAAACUUGGAAGGGUGGGAGUCAAGACUGGUAAUGCAGGACAGAUAAGGGUUGACUGCACAGCCUUUAAUUCUUGAAUGGAAAAUGAGGUUCAAUAAGGGGCUAUCAUUGGACAACAAAAUAAAAGUGACCCAAAUUCUUUGUGUCUUCUCCUUCAUAUAUUUUUUAUAACAAUAAAAAAGAAUUAAUUUCCAUGUUAUUGAGUUGUUAACAUGCCAUUGCCAACAACCUAUCUUUGUAUGUGUCUUUUGUCUGAGAAAGAAAUGGAUGUUUGCUUCCUUGUUUAUGAUAAUUCUCAAAAUGUCAAUAUGUAUUCCACCUCUAAUUUUUUGUUGAUCAAAUUUCCCUAAAGGGAUCCUGUUCUAAAAAGAAGUUUUUUCCUGAAUGAUUUUUGUUAUUUGAUUUCAUGUUGAACACUUAUUUGAGCACGAGAUUAAAGUUUUGACAAAUCAAUAUAUGCAUAUUUAAGACAAGACUUGUUAAUGUGAUUGGAAGAGAGAUUGAGAGAACUUAAUUUUUCAUUAUAAUGAACUUAUGUGCGUCAAUGACACAUAAUUGUCACUGAAAACAAGUUUAGUGAUGUUCAUCAGGUUAUUGACACUCGUGGAUCGCACUUUUCUCUCAAGGAUAUUGGACAACUUCAUUACUUUCUUGGUAUUGCAGUGCUGACUUACACUAGUGGUGUAUUAUUGACUCAGAAAAAAUAUGUUUCAGAUAUGUUAAAGGAGGUAAACAUGGCGAAUUGCAAAAAGGUUUUAACUCCAAUUACCAUAGUCAACUUCUUUACCUCUUCCUCCAACUCUCAAGUUGACAGCUCUUUGUAUCCGCGUAUUAUAGGCAAACUUCAUUAUCUAGCUUUCACACGUCCAGACAUUUAGAGUGCUCAUUAUGCCAUCUAGUUUUCCAUAGCCGAAUGAAGCAUGUCACCAUAUACUUCUCCAUUUUGUGCGAGAGCAAGUUGAAAGAAAACAACUUGAAAUUCAUCUUCAUGCAGCUGAUCAGAUGGCCCUCGGAAAGCUAUUGAUGGGAACUUGUACAAUUUGACCAUCAUAAAAGUUGCUACCAACUUGCGGGGCCAUAAUAGUGGC